RNAcentral lists this ribosomal RNA (442 nucleotides) under uncultured bacterium. RNAcentral describes it as "partial 16S ribosomal RNA". It matches the Rfam family "Bacterial small subunit ribosomal RNA", at positions 338 to 795 of the family's 1533-position model. The record is from RNAcentral.
CCUACGGUGGGCAGCAGUGGGGAAUAUUGGGCAAUGGGCGCAAGCCUGACCCAGCAACGCCGCGUGAAGGAAGAAGGCUUUCGGGUUGUAAACUUCUUUUAAGAGGGAAGAGCAGAAGACGGUACCUCUUGAAUAAGCCACGGCUAACUACGUGCCAGCAGCCGCGGUAAUACGUAGGUGACAAGCGUUGUCCGGAUUUACUGGGUGUAAAGGGUGUGUAGCCGGGCUGACAAGUCAGAUGUGAAAUCCGGGGGCUCAACCCCCGAACUGCAUUUGAAACUGUUUGUCUUGAGUCUCGGAGAGGCAGGCGGAAUGCCUAGUGUAGCGGUGAAAGGCGUAGAUAUUAGGAGGAACACCAGUGGCGAAGGCGGCCGGCUGGACGACAACUGACGGUGAGGCGCGAAAGCGUGGGGAGCAAACAGGAUUAGAUACCCUUGUAGUC